Molecule: ribosomal RNA, 499 nt
Filed under: uncultured bacterium
Lineage: Bacteria
Description: bacterial SSU rRNA
Rfam family: Bacterial small subunit ribosomal RNA
Source: RNAcentral
UAGAGUUUGAUCCUGGCUCAGGACGAACGCUGGCGGCGUGCCUAACACAUGCAAGUCGAGCGAUGAAGCCCUUCGGGGCUGAUUAGCGGCGGACGGGUGAGUAACACGUGGGUAACCUGCCUCAUAGAGGGGGAUAGCCUCCCGAAAGGGAGAUUAAUACCGCAUAACAUAUUUUGGUCGCAUGAUCGAAAUAUCAAAGGAGUAAUCCGCUAUGAGAUGGACCCGCGGCGCAUUAGCUAGUUGGUGAGGUAACGGCUCACCAAGGCGACGAUGCGUAGCCGACCUGAGAGGGUGAUCGGCCACAUUGGAACUGAGACACGGUCCAGACUCCUACGGGAGGCAGCAGUGGGGAAUAUUGCGCAAUGGGGGAAACCCUGACGCAGCAACGCCGCGUGAAUGAUGAAGGCCUUAGGGUUGUAAAGUUCUGUCUUCUGGGACGAUAAUGACGGUACCAGAGGAGGAAGCCACGGCUAACUACGUGCCAGCAGCCGCGGUAAUA